Molecule: long non-coding RNA, 213 nt
Filed under: Capsella rubella
Lineage: Eukaryota; Viridiplantae; Streptophyta; Magnoliopsida; Brassicales; Brassicaceae
Description: long non-coding RNA (CRUB_LNC004031)
Source: RNAcentral
GUUGAUUUAUACACAUUGUCAUCUAGUUCCAAAAGAGAAAGGAUUGAAUCCAUCUUCGCUCUUCUUCUUCAUCGAGGUCCACGUUAAAAAUUGCAUGUGUGAAUUCUAUACCACAUACACUUACAUUUUCAGUUUGUUAAAGCAUUCCAUAAUGAUUUGAAGUUUAAUGGCUCUGUUCUGAUCUCUUGAGUAGGAUGAACAACAACAAGCCAA